GGUCAAGUUAGGAAGGGCAUAUGGUGGAUGCCAAUGGCAUCAGGAGGCGAAGAAGGACGUGGCAGGCUGCGAAAAGCCACGGGGAGCUGCGAGUGAGCGUAGAUCCGUGGAUGUCCGAAUGGGGCAACCCAUCCUGAGGAAAGUCAGGAUAUCACUAUCUGAAUACAUAGGGUAGUGAGGCGAACCCGGGGAAGUGAAACAUCUCAGU
This 208-nucleotide ribosomal RNA is filed under the name Elusimicrobiales bacterium. Its description in RNAcentral is "partial 23S ribosomal RNA". It matches the Rfam family "Bacterial large subunit ribosomal RNA", at positions 1 to 207 of the family's 2925-position model. Lineage: Bacteria; Pseudomonadati; Elusimicrobiota; Elusimicrobia; Elusimicrobiales. The record is from RNAcentral.